CGCUCAGAUUGAACGCUGGCGGCAGGCCUAACACAUGCAAGUCGAGCGGUAGAGAGAAGCUUGCUUCUCUUGAGAGCGGCGGACGGGUGAGUAAUGCCUAGGAAUCUGCCUAGUGGUGGGGGAUAACGUUCGGAAACGGACGCUAAUACCGCAUACGUCCUACGGGAGAAAGCGGGGGAUCUUAGGACCUCGCGCCAUUAGAUGAGCCUAGGUCGGAUUAGCUAGUUGGUGAGGUAAUGGCUCACCAAGGCUACGAUCCGUAACUGGUCUGAGAGGAUGAUCAGUCACACUGGAACUGAGACACGGUCCAGACUCCUACGGGAGGCAGCAGUGGGGAAUAUUGGACAAUGGGCGAAAGCCUGAUCCAGCCAUGCCGCGUGUGUGAAGAAGGUCUUCGGAUUGUAAAGCACUUUAAGUUGGGAGGAAGGGCAGUAACCUAAUACGUUAUUGUUUUGACGUUACCGACAGAAUAAGCACCGGCUAACUUCGUGCCAGCAGCCGCGGUAAUACGAAGGGUGCAAGCGUUAAUCGGAAUUACUGGGCGUAAAGCGCGCGUAGGUGGUUCAGUAAGUUGGAAGUGAAAUCCCCGGGCUCAACCUGGGAACUGCUUUCAAAACUGCUGAGCUAGAGUACGGUAGAGGGUGGUGGAAUUUCCUGUGUAGCGGUGAAAUGCGUAGAUAUAGGAAGGAACACCAGUGGCGAAGGCGACCACCUGGACUGAUACUGACACUGAGGUGCGAAAGCGUGGGGAGCAAACAGGAUUAGAUACCCUGGUAGUCCACGCCGUAAACGAUGUCAACUAGCCGUUGGAAUCCUUGAGAUUUUAGUGGCGCAGCUAACGCAUUAAGUUG
RNAcentral lists this ribosomal RNA (851 nucleotides) under Pseudomonas sp. AKB-2008-HE49. RNAcentral describes it as "bacterial SSU rRNA". It matches the Rfam family "Bacterial small subunit ribosomal RNA", at positions 21 to 867 of the family's 1533-position model. Lineage: Bacteria; Pseudomonadati; Pseudomonadota; Gammaproteobacteria; Pseudomonadales; Pseudomonadaceae. The record is from RNAcentral.